Long non-coding RNA from Anolis carolinensis (green anole), 1487 nucleotides. RefSeq lists it as uncharacterized. The transcript is spliced from 2 exons. The record is from RefSeq and is a predicted model, not a curated record. NCBI's taxonomy places the organism in Eukaryota, Metazoa, Chordata, Lepidosauria, Squamata, Anolidae.
GCAGGAGCAGGAGCAGCAUUGGCGGCGGCGGCGGGGACCGCAAAGCCAGGUCUGUCUACUCACCAGAGCUUCCUCUUUAAGGGCAGGAGGCUGCCCCGGUUGGAGGCGGUCACCCCGAUGGCCAUCUGCAAGACAGUCAGAGUAGCUAUAAUGAGAGCAAGCGGAGGAGCACAAGAGAAAGUAUCUUCUAAUUAUAGACCAUUUGUGUGGAAGGAUUCGAAGGCACUGCCGAUAACACACUUGGAACAUUUCAGACAGCAGGACCUAUGACCUUACCUUGGUAGCCAAGAAGAACGGAAAUGAACGAGUGGGGACAGACCUCCUCCAGCACCGAGCAGAACGCAGACAGGGCACCGGGCCCUUUGCAAACGAGUUUCUCUAAAAAAUAGGCAGCUUGCUUCUCGCAGCACUCCCGGGACAAAAUGUCUUUGUACUCCUCCAAGGAAAAUACUCUCUCAUAAACCAGAUAUGACAGCACUUUCUGCACAUCCAGCUCUCUCACGAUUCUCUCCCUGUGGUUGCUUAGGAUAUCAGCAAGCCACUGGUUCCUAUCUGUGCUUUCUUUUUUGGUUGGUUUUGCACAGUUAUAAAACCAAGACCGGACCGGCCAUCUAAACAUGUUUGCAUUUAAAGCUAAAAAUAAAUAAAAAGAAGAUAUUCCAGCUCUCUGUCAGACGCUUGCAACCUUCAGAAGUCUAUAGGAAUUCAAUGAGAAGGCAAGGGUAUAUCACCUGCCUAUAGAUAGGGCAAAUUGACUGGAAAAGAGGCCUAGGUUCGAAUUAUAAAAGCACAAAAAGCAAAAGAAACUGCCACGCACAGUGCUUCCAGCUCCCUAAGAGGAUUACUUCACACUAAUUAGCCUUUUACAAGCAUUAAUAGGCAUCUGUACAACCACAAAAAGGCAGAUAGGAGAAUAGCUGGGCUACUGUUCACUUUUUAAUUCUAUAAACUGCUUCUCAAAAACAAAACAAGUCUAUUGUAGAAAGUUACAGUGAAGAAGACGGGAUAUCAAAGCAGUUAUCCAUUCCAGGCAAAUAUUAAAACAAGAAACAAGGACACAAUUUUAGGUGGAUAGAUUUGUUUUGUUGGGAUGGCCUCCCAAAUAAUACUAUGAUGGGAUAGAGAUGGUUCCUUUUAAGCAGAAUUGCAUAGGUGAUAUAUUUGUUCUCGUGUUCAUAAGCAGAAGGCAUAGGACAUGUUAUUCAUUGGUGUGUGCUGUUGGGGAGAGGCAUAUGUGAGGAGUGGGAAAAUAGUCUAAUUCUUUCUGGAAAUUUGUAUUUAUAAUGUUUAACACUGAUUUAUCUUUUGUGAUUCUGGAAGUAUUGGAUGAUUUUUAAAAACUCUCAUAAAUAGCAUCUACUUAAUGAAUUAGGAUUAAGGGGAGAGAUUCUGACAGCUUCGAUGUAGGUGUACUGCCAGUAGUAAUUAUUCACUGAGGAUCAAACUUGCAUAACAACCCUGCUUCACAUAUACCAGUAUUUACUCGA